GACGAACGCUGGCGGCGUGCUUAACACAUGCAAGUCGAACGGAAAGGCCUGCUUUCCCUUGUGGAUUGCGGGUACUCGAGUGGCGAACGGGUGAGUAACACGUGAGUGAUCUACCCCCAACUUGGGUAUAAGCCUGGGAAACUGGGUCUAAUUCCCGAUAGGACUGCAGGGUGGUGCCUGUGGUGGAAAACGAUUUUCUAGUGGUUGGGGAUGAGCUCGCGGCCUAUCAGCUUGUUGGUGGGGUAAUGGCCUACCAAGGCGGCGACGGGUAGCCGGCCUGGGAGGGUGGACGGCCACAUUGGGACUGAGAUACGGCCCAGACUCCUACGGGAGGCAGCAGUGGGGAAUAUUGCACAAUGGGCGGAAGCCUGAUGCAGCGACGCCGCGUGGGGGAUGACGGCCUUCGGGUUGUAAACUCCUUUCGACCGCGAGGAAGCCACCUGGUUGGAAGGGUGGUGACGGUAGUGGUAGAAGAAGCACCGGCUAACUACGUG
Molecule: ribosomal RNA, 494 nt
Filed under: uncultured bacterium
Lineage: Bacteria
Description: partial 16S ribosomal RNA
Rfam family: Bacterial small subunit ribosomal RNA
Source: RNAcentral